UACAGAGACUGCAAGCGUUAUUCGGAUUCACUGGGCGUAAAGGGUGCGCAGGCGGUUGGGUGUGUCAGAUGUGAAAUCCCGAGGCUUAACCUCGGAACUGCGUCUGAAACUACUCGACUAGAGUACUGGAGAGGGAAACGGAAUUCACGGUGUAGCAGUGAAAUGCGUAGAUAUCGUGAGGAACACCAGAGGCGAAGGCGGUUCUCUGGGCAUUACCUGACGCUGAGGAGCGAAAGUGUGGGGAGCGAACAGG
This 253-nucleotide ribosomal RNA is filed under the name uncultured bacterium. Its description in RNAcentral is "partial 16S ribosomal RNA". It matches the Rfam family "Bacterial small subunit ribosomal RNA", at positions 524 to 776 of the family's 1533-position model. The record is from RNAcentral.